GUGGUGAGGAGCCGCCGUGAGCGCACAGCGCGAGCCUGCCAAGCGUGCGCCCACUUCCCGGAGGUGCGGACCUGUGAGCAGGCUUGCAGGCAUCUCCUGUAUGUCACACAUCCAAGGAGGAAACGCACCUGUGUGCAUCAGAGGGGGCUCUCCGUAGACUUCUCUCUUCCCACUGCACAGAGCUGCAGAGUUCUCUGGCAAUAUCUGAAGCAUUUUAAGCAAGUCUUCAAUCCAUUUCUACUGAGGAGUAUUGGAUGUGCCCCGGGGAGAGAAAGCUUGAGGCUGGUCACCUGGCCCACAGUGAGUCCUCGUAUUGAUGCUGGAUGGACAGAGUGGACGCAAUGAUGCCCCAGCCUGACACUUCAUGACUCCAUGGCUGUGAUGCUUGGGCCGCACCAGAGAUUCCAAGACGGGAGAGUCCAUCCAUCCUUCAGCUGAAGUGAAAUCUUGGUCUGCAGCGGGGAGGGGAGAGAGCGGAAGAGGAAGCACAGAGAAGGAACAGUAUGUGAAGCCAGUUCACAUCUCAGUAUGAAGAAACCCACCAGGCUCAAAUUCACUGGAAACCCAAUCUGAAGUAUUACUGUAUCCCCAGCAACCACAGCAACCAUAACCAGCACCAUCCCGACCACCACCACUGCUACCAGCAUGUAUCACGAGCUCACCGUGGACCACAUCUGGUGCCCCCAUGGCUGGAAUCCAUCGGUGUUCAAAUCCCGAGGCUCCAUAUAAACACUGAGUACCUUGAGGGCAGGAGGUGAGUUUUAUUCAUCUAUGAAUCAGCCUGCAAUUGUCCCUAAGGAAGGUCUACGCACUCUUCUCUCUAUGGCUGUGGAACUGAUGCAAAGCUGCGCAGUAUCUGAGGUAAUGGCUGAAAAUGGACCGCAGUUCCUCAGCACCGAGUCGGGUCCUGCUGCAGGUCGAUGGUCCCCUCUGCCCGGAAAGUCCAGAAGCCCGGGAGCCAGCCACUGCCCUGAGCCCUAGCGGGACCUUGCACAGGUCGGCCGACCUCCAGUGGCCGGUUCCAAAACCGCAUCAGCUUCCUCUUCUCAGCUUCCGCUCUGCCACCCUCCUCCCCAAGACGCCCCAGAACUGAAGACUGGGUGUGCUUUAGAGCCAGUCCACCUGAACCGUAAACAUGACAUUUUUCUGCAUGAACUUUCAGAUACCACCCGGUUCCACUUUCCAAGCUGGGCUACCAAACCCCAGGGGUAUCAGCAGUGGCCUCUUGCAAGGAACUCUCUACCCGCCGGCCAUAGCACGGCCAGCACUGCAGUGAGGACAUGAGGGGUAAGAGGGAGCUGUACAGACGGGUCACCUACGAGGGACAGCAGA
Balaenoptera ricei (Rice's whale) is the source of this 1332-nucleotide long non-coding RNA. RefSeq lists it as uncharacterized. The transcript is spliced from 8 exons. NCBI's taxonomy places the organism in Eukaryota, Metazoa, Chordata, Mammalia, Artiodactyla, Balaenopteridae. The record is from RefSeq and is a predicted model, not a curated record.